UUGCAGCCAGUUAAGCCGACUGUGCUCUUUUCCCCAUGGGGGCCCGGUGCGCAAGGGCUGCAAACAGCAGCCUCCUCGGCAGUGUAUGCAGCCUGUUGCCUGUAUGGGUUGCCCUAAGGGACCUUGGAGACAGCC
Molecule: small nucleolar RNA, 135 nt
Organism: Tursiops truncatus (common bottlenose dolphin)
Lineage: Eukaryota; Metazoa; Chordata; Mammalia; Artiodactyla; Delphinidae
Gene: SNORA70
Rfam family: Small nucleolar RNA SNORA70
About the family: snoRNA U70 seems to be exclusive to mammals and is a member of the H/ACA class of snoRNA which contain H (ANANNA) and ACA box motifs. H/ACA box snoRNAs are involved in the conversion of uridines to pseudouridines (5-ribosyluracil) a constituent of structural RNAs (transfer, ribosomal, small nuclear, and small nucleolar).
Source: Ensembl